RNAcentral lists this ribosomal RNA (483 nucleotides) under uncultured bacterium. RNAcentral's name for it is "partial 16S ribosomal RNA". It matches the Rfam family "Bacterial small subunit ribosomal RNA", at positions 28 to 507 of the family's 1533-position model. The record is from RNAcentral.
GACGAACGCUGGCGGCGUGCUUAACACAUGCAAGUCGAACGCUGAAGCUCAGCUUUUGUUGGGUGGAUGAGUGGCGAACGGGUGAGUAACACGUGAGUAACCUGCCUCCUUCUUUGGGAUAACGCCCGGAAACGGGUGCUAAUACUGGAUAUUCACUGGUCUUCGCAUGGGGGUUGGUGGAAAGGGUUUUUCUGGUGGGGGAUGGGCUCGCGGCCUAUCAGCUUGUUGGUGGGGUGAUGGCCUACCAAGGCUUUGACGGGUAGCCGGCCUGAGAGGGUGACCGGUCACAUUGGGACUGAGAUACGGCCCAGACUCCUACGGGAGGCAGCAGUGGGGAAUAUUGCACAAUGGGCGCAAGCCUGAUGCAGUGACGCCGCGUGGGGGAUGGAGGCCUUCGGGUUGUGAACCUCUUUCGCUCAUGGUCAAGCCGCAACAAUGGUUGUGGUGAGGGUAGUGGGUAAAGAAGCGCCGGCUAACUACGUG